GACAGAGGUUGCAAACGUUGUUCGGAAUUACUGGGCGUAAAGCGCACGUAGGCGGCUUUCUAAGUCGGGGGUGAAAUCCUGGAGCUCAACUCCAGAACUGCCUUCGAUACUGGAGAGCUCGAGUCCGGGAGAGGUGAGUGGAACUGCGAGUGUAGAGGUGAAAUUCGUAGAUAUUCGCAAGAACACCAGUGGCGAAGGCGGCUCACUGGCCCGGUACUGACGCUGAGGUGCGAAAGCGUGGGGAGCAAACAGG
This 253-nucleotide ribosomal RNA is filed under the name uncultured bacterium. Its description in RNAcentral is "partial 16S ribosomal RNA". It matches the Rfam family "Bacterial small subunit ribosomal RNA", at positions 524 to 776 of the family's 1533-position model. The record is from RNAcentral.